This is a non-coding RNA of Pelodiscus sinensis (Chinese soft-shelled turtle), 576 nucleotides long. NCBI's taxonomy places the organism in Eukaryota, Metazoa, Chordata, Testudines, Trionychidae. The record is from RefSeq and is a predicted model, not a curated record.
AAUAAAAUGUGCAUUGCUGGCCAGAAAUGGACAUGGCUAAGCUAGCCUAGGGAUGUGCCUAUACAUAGGCUUUCUAAGCUAUGAAAAUAAUUUGCAAGUAGAUAUAUGGACAAACUGUGAGCCAAUGGAGAUCCGCUUUUGCCUGCUGCAAGAGGAAGAUAAUUCUAGUUCCUACUACCUCUGAGCACAUCACCAUCUGUAACCUAUUUUUCACCCCAACACAGCUGGGAGAUUGAACAUGCUGGUGAGGAUUAAAGAUCUGAAUGCUGAAUAACCAUAUUACCCAUCAUGGCAGCUGGAAGCAUUAUCUAUAUUAGAACCUACUUUUAAACUUUCUGUGCCAGUUACUGUCUUUACGUUAACAGGUUUAAUAAAAUACCAAUGAGUGUCUACCGAUCUAGAUAAUUUAUAUGGUCCCCAUUGCUGUUAUAUCUGAGCAGCUAUGGAGUUACAUCUGUUGAAUCCAGACACCAUGGCCAGCUUCAGGAAUUUCUCACUUAGGGGAUGCUGUCAUUGGGAUGUGCAGUCCCCGAUAGCCCUGCAGAGCCUGAACCUUGCAACCUGCAGGGUAUGAAG